Long non-coding RNA from Papaver somniferum (opium poppy), 2346 nucleotides. RefSeq lists it as uncharacterized. NCBI's taxonomy places the organism in Eukaryota, Viridiplantae, Streptophyta, Magnoliopsida, Ranunculales, Papaveraceae. The record is from RefSeq and is a predicted model, not a curated record. The transcript is spliced from 7 exons.
UUUUCUUUUACCAUCUUCUCAUUUUUCAUUUUUCCUCGUAGCAGCGCCACCUCAAAUCCCCAACCUCCUUCAAGCAAAUCAACACCGCCACCUUAAGUCAGUGAUUUUCUUUAUCUUGACAAGGUCAGAUGCGUUUUCCAGAUCACUUAUCUUCUUCAAAUCAUUUAGGUUGCUUCAAGAUUGGUUCCCGAAGAUGCCAAAACCUUCAUCAACUUAAUCACAUCCCAAGAUGAAGACUACGACGACCUUACAGAAAAAUAAUUGGCUUGGUUUCUUGCCCGGAAUUUGUUUUUAUGACUCAUUCUAUCCUGCAGUCCUUGAUACGUUUUGCUUGGUUUCUCGGAAAUCUAGUAAAAAAGUUUAGGUAAAGUCACUGGGGGUCAUUUUCGAGGCACAUUUGCUUCAGUAAUUACCUAGGCAAUGCUUGUCCACCCUGAUAAAAGAUAUGGGGGAUGAAAAGGUUGUAGAAGCCUUCAAGAAGCUUCAGAAUGCAUAUGAGGUACAUUUGGUCUCCAGUUAGUAUAGUAGUAAGAAUCUAACUAUCCUCGUGUAAUUAUGUUUAUAGCUGGUUGUCUCCACGUUUUACUUAACUCUUUGAAGCGUGAAGCAUAUAAUGAUGAAUUGAGGAACGAGGAGCUACUAAACUGGUUUCGGAGACCAAAGUUCACCAGAUCCACACAUCCGUAAAUCUAGGUACGAUGAGUUGGCUUCUAAAUACUUCGUUGAGUACAUUGCUGGAGGUAACACUACACCUGUGUUUUUAAGCUUCUUAUGCUUAUUCUAUGGUUUGUCAUUAAACAUCAGCUAAUUGAGGCCUGUGUUAUCUUAACUUACAUGGAUUCUAUAUUCUGGGUUAUGUUUGAUUUUAUAUUUUGUUCAUAGCUGUUGCUUGAUACAAAGUCCUGGAUUCAAAGAUUUUCUACUAAAGUUCGAGCUCUUUAGAGUUUAAGAGCAACUGUCGAUUCGGGAUUUGAGCAUUCAUCUGAAGUCAAUUUACUUUUUACUUGGAUUCUUUUAUGUUUUUCUGGAUUACCUAUUUAUUUGUGUAUCUGCUUGUAUCGCGUAGUCUUGUAUUAAGAUUAUGCUUCAGUUGGCUAUUGGUCCUUUUGAGUAGCAUGGUAAGGAGGUUGUAUUUUACUUUAUUUGUUAUUUUAGUUCAGAUUAGCGUGGAUUUAUGUUCUGAAAUGUGUUGUUUGAGUUGCAGGAAAACCACUAGUGCUGCACUCCUGGUUUUGGAUGCAAAAUUUUAUUGGUUACCAUUUACAUAAGAGUUCCCAGAUAUCAUUUCUCACUCACUGAGAUUCCUCGGUGUCUAAUUUUUCUUUUGGUUCUCAAUCAGUUCAACAUGAAUGCAUUCCUCAAGCUAAUUUUGGGUAUGGAUGAAGAUUUUAACCAUUCUCUGUUGAUGCUUAUAUUUCAACCAUAAUAUCUGCCAUGAGUUUGAGCGGUUCAGCACAUACCUGCCUGAUAUGAAAGUUGAUGUGUUCUAUAGUGGUGUUAACAUCAAGACCCAUAAGGUUCAGUAAGUGCUAUGGGUUGUUUGUUGGAGUCGUCGGUGGUAGUAGAUGCUGGUGGUGUGGUUAAUGACGCACAUUUUUUUGGGUUUAGUUGGUAGUGGUGCCUCUUUAGCUUAGUGUUGCGGAGGAACCCCUAGGAUCUGUUGAUACAAGAACCACCAAGAGAGCUUAUACUAUAUUUGCAAGAUUUUGACUACUUCUGAUACCAGUAUUCAUGGAAGGUUCUCAAUUCUUCGUAAACAUGCAAUGAAUCUGUUGUACAUGGCCCGAGCGACAAAAUAACUCAGAAAUUGAUUACGAAGGAUUUUCAUGGCUAUGUGUGGUGAUUUAAGCAUAUUCAGAGGUCAACCUCGGCGGCAUUUACUCACAGCUGGUUGGAGUACUUUUGUCACUUUAAAAAGAUUGGUUGCAGGAGACACUUUUGUGUUUCUCAGGGGAGAAUGGGGCUUUGUGCGUUAAUAGUAAGGCCUUAUGGUUGGACAGAGCAGAGAUAAAUCCCUACAGGGGACCCUCUAUGUGGUGAAAUUAAGAAGCUUAAUGUAAUGAGAUAAAUCCCUACAGAAGAAAUUCAGAAUCAAAGCAAGAGCAGUUUAAUGUAAUGUUAGGCAGCUUCACAAUUUACCUUAAUUAAGAAAGUGGUUCCUUGGGUUGCUGGUAACUUGUCUCGAGCUUUUCUCGAUUUCAGAGGAAACCUGGCUAGUGAUUUUCUUGUUGGGUCAAUUGAUAUUUGAUCCGGAUUUCUUUCUCUUUUCUUUUGUCAUGUCAAAUAUAAAGUUAAUUACUGUAUUUUUAAGGAAACUGAAGUAAUGCAAUGGUUAAUACAACCCUA